CCUACGGGUGGCAGCAGUGAGGAAUAUUGGUCAAUGGACGGGAGUCUGAACCAGCCAAGUCGCGUGAAGGAUGACUGCCCUGUGUAUUGUAAACUUCUUUUAUCAGGGAAUAAAACGAGGCACGUGUCCCUUUUUGCGUGUACUUUAUGAAUAAGGAUCGGCUAACUCCGUGCCAGCAGCCGCGGUAAUACGGAGGAUACGAGCGUUAUCCGGAUUUAUUGGGUUUAAAGGGUGCGUAGAUGGGUUGGUAAGUCAGUUGUGAAAGUUUGGGGCUCAACCGUAAAAUUGCAAUUGAUACUGGCAGUCUGGAGUAGAGUUGAGGUAGGCGGAAUGCGCGGUGUAGCGGUGAAAUGCAUAGAUAUCACGAAGAACUCCGAUUGCGAAGGCAGCUUACCGA
Molecule: ribosomal RNA, 397 nt
Filed under: uncultured bacterium
Lineage: Bacteria
Description: partial 16S ribosomal RNA
Rfam family: Bacterial small subunit ribosomal RNA
Source: RNAcentral